GGCCUGUUUGAGCAGGCAUUGCAAAUCUUAAAAACAAUAAGAUGAAUAAUCAUCACUGUUUGAUCACUGCCAUUUAUUGAGUACCUUCUCCAUGGCAGAUGCUAAGAUAAGACCUAACAUGCAUCAUCUCUGAUUUUACAAGUCUUCGAGGUUGCAGCCAUGAAAAUGCCCUGGUCAGCCAUGAUUGACCAUGACAGGGGUACUAGUGCAGGCCUGUUCCUGCUGGACAUGGAACCCCUCUAAUGGCUUAAGGACUCCCACUGGCUGGCAGAAACUUUCUUAGAACAACACUGUAGUCUAAGACUCUUCCUACUGAAUUCUCUUUCCUUCUCCCUCUCCUUUCAUGGGGGUCAGGCCUGCACUGCAGUCUGGGGCUUCCUCUGCCUACUUCAGUUCCUUCCUGAACAUUUUACAGGUGUUUCCCCCAAUAAUUCUCUUAUAUGCCUAAUCCCAUCUUGGUGCCUGCAUCUCGAAGGAACUAACACAGUGGACAGGAGUCCCAUUUUGCAGACAGACACUGGAUCAAUGAUGAAGUUACUUGUGUAAGUCCUACAGCCAACAAAUGUUAAGAGCUGGGGUUGUGUGCAGGUAUGUUUGAUUCCACAAGCCAAGUCUUAGAAGCAUACUAGGCUUCCUCUCUAAUGAUCUAUGCAGGCUUAACUGUGAGGACAGGGAGUGAUGACACAUUUCAGUUUGGCCCCUUUGUUUUGUCGAUGAGAAACCUGAGACCAGUGAGGGAAAGGAUUCGCCCAUGGGUGCCAGUGGGAGGGGUGCACCUGGGCUGUGCACAGCCAUUUCCCUCCUUUGGAGGCUGAGGGAGGAGGUCACAGGGAGGCCUCAGGGUAUGGAGGGAGGUCAGGCUGGGGGGCUUAGUGUCUGACCCACCAGCCUGGCAGGCGGGAAUGUGCCUGUAGAAGCCCACGGCCCUCUUGGGGAGAAGCCAUGAAGUGAGGACUGAGUGCUGCCUGGAGGUGCUGGCUGGGAUGCACAGGGAAGAGCUGUCAGGGUAUGGGUCUAACACUGGAACAGCUGGGGGACAUUCCCUGGAUAUCCCUGCAUUGCCUUGAGGCUCUCCCAUCCCUGUUUGAUCCGUAAGCUCCAAGGAGACAUGUUUCCCAGCCAUAAUGCCUUCUGAUCCCAAUCUCUUCUACUCUUUUCAUUGGCAAGAGUCAUUCUCACCCGGGUUUUCUUAUAUAAUAAUUAUAAACUCAUUCAGGGCCUGUGAGUGAAAAGGCACACAUAUACAUUCAGGUCUAAUAUUCACUGAGCAACCAUCAGCACAAUGGUAUGUGACCUCUUUGAAUGCUGCACUAAUGCUCCACUGUCUAGAAGGAGGCCAGACUGCUCUGGGGACCAGGUGCAGAGGGUGCCCUCAAGUGUCUAGUGUCAGAGAGAGAGGGGCUACUCCACUUUGGCCAGGGUGAACUUGAGUUGGUGAUGACAAACAUCUGCAGCUAGUCUAUUUUUCUAAUCUCACCCUCCAAACAGCCCCAUCUUCUUGCAGGGAGGAUGGGUGAAGGCAUUUUCAAAAAUGGACAUCACAUGUGACAAACAGGCAAAGGACCCUGACAGAGCCACAAAACUGACACGCUCAUGAAAACUCAGACCGCUGACAAUGGUGAGCGCCGACCAAUUCAGCGCCAGGCGUGGAGGCUUCUGGCAAGAGUGGUGGGCUCUGUGCGUCCUGAUGGUGGCAGCAGAGACCAGCUUGGGAGCCACCUGGCUCCUCUGCCCUAGCCCAUUAUGGCCUGAAUCCAAUCAAUUUCAGUUCUCAGCACUUCUGAAAACGUGCGUGGCUUAGAGUGUCUGGCAGGGCUCAGGAGAGAAAAGCAUUUCUCAGCCCCGGGACACAUAUAUGCCUCCAGGCACUGGUUGUGGCUUGCAAUCUGGGAGGGCAGGUGAACGGACACCCUCCCUCCUUGCACAGGCCUGGGAUCUGCCUUACUCAACUCCCACUUCUACCAGGAGCAGAGGAUCACCGCUGCCCAGCACCCCGCCCAUCUGAAUUCUGACUCUGGUGGCUUCAGAGAAGCAAGGUAGGGGCCAGUGCUGGUAUGAAAUGCCAGAUGAGAGGAAACUGAUGCAUGCACUUUACUCCUGACUCAGAGUGCCUGAAAUAUCUGGCAAACUGGCAAAGGAUGAAACCCUUCUUUGAGGUCUGUAGAGUAGCUUUAAGAUAAAUGAAGCCACUGAGAAGGUCCAAAACAAGGGGCCCUUAGACGUGGAAGAGGUCUGCUUUCCUGAUAACUAGAGUGGUGCUGGGCUAUGAAAACAGUCCAAAUAGAUGAGGAUAGUUCCUGAGAGCACAGGGUUCUGAAGCUGGACAAAUAUUCUUCCACCUUAAUGGCCCUCUCACUGGAGCCUUCACAGGGUUAACGAUGGUCCCGCAGGAGUUGGGGCCAUGACUGAGGACAUGGAGCUGAUGUGGAGGCAGUCAGGGCCAAGGCAAGAGCCUCCUUGUGUAUAGUGGAAACGCAAGACAGACAUCAAAGGGAGUGGGGUGUGCGGUUCCCAAGGGGCUACCAGAGUCCACUUUUAUUAAAAGUUUGUGUCUUUCUUUAGAAAGUAAUAUGUUCCAUCUCCAGCACCUGAAGGCUCCUUUCAGGGUGCCAGAAGAAUCCUCAAGGGACAGUCCCAGGCUGUGUCCUUCCUCCUGUCUUGGCUGACAUUUUUAUGCAUGGUUUAGGCAGCCCAUGGGCUUUCCAGCUUUGCAAUAAGAUCUGAUCUAAUUUCAAGCUUAUACAUAACAGAAGGGCUGGGGGAGAAGUAGGAGUUCUUUUAGAAUUGCAAAAUCCAGGUGGGUGUAGCCUGUGGGGUGCAGGCUAUCCAGCUCAAAGAGGGAGGCCCAUAUCUCAGAUUCCCUAAUGCUCGGCACAGUGUCUGGCACACAAUGGGCACACAGGAAAUCCUGCACUGAAUCAAACAGAUUUUGUAUUACCAGAUCUAGGCUGACUCACUGUGUGGUCAGGACCUUGGGUCAAUCACUUCACCUGGUGACUCACUCCCUACCUGUAAGGUGUGGAGGACAGCUGGAGUCACUGUGGCACCUGUGUGUUUAGCAGUGUGUUUGCUUGUUCCUGCUUUUAUGUCUCUGGCUGGUCUAAGAUGGAAUGAUAAAAAAAUAACGGAAUGCACUUUGUAAACGAGAGCAUCCUAGACACAUGUAAAGAUUGGAAAAUUAGAAAGCUGUCUCUACUGUAGUUACUUCUCAGAUAUGACCAACCAUUAUUAAGAAUUCAUUGGCUAAUAGGGCUACAUUUUCUCAUGAUCAUUCUUCUGUUUUAGAAGUGGGCAACUGCAGUUUUAAGAAUAAAUGUGUAAAUGUGUGUUUUCAUGAGAGACAAUAAAGCUGUUUUCAUUAAGAAUGAAAUAUGCAACUUGCAAACACUUUUACUUUUCUUGAAUUGGGUCCUUCAGCAGAAGCAGUUUGCCCAGCCCUGACAUGGAAAGUUUACUUUGCUCAUCAACCUGAAGGAGACCGAAAGCUAUGAGAGGCGGCUCCUGAAAAGAAUCUAGACUCCGGAUAUAAAAAGAUCUUGCAACACAAGGCCAAGUGGAAAUCAUGGUUCGCAUUAAAGGCAUAAACCUCCUGCACUAACAACCCAGAGCAGGAGGAAAAGCUGGGAGACCUGGCUCAGCAGCCUUCCCUGAGGGAAGCCUUCGGGGCUUUGUUCCUCUUGAGAUCAGGGCAAGCCUAUGUAUGACCUGAAGCCAAUACAACCAGCAGAGCUGAUGCCAGUGCUGGCUGCCUGAGUGCUACUAAAGAAAGAGUCCACCAUCGGCUCCCUCUUCCGUAGCCAGACACAGGUGGAAUGCUGUGCUUCCUUUUGGGAGACAAAGCAGAAGCUACCCCAGAGGGGGCAGAUGGGAGACAGGCCCAGGCAAUGCAGCCCUACAAAGAAGACUUGAAGGGCCGGGGCUGAGCAGCUUGGAUGAAGAGAAGGCUGCCUUUCAGAGCUGUUUCAAAUGUUUCAGACGUUGCUAGACAAACUAGAGUUGUAUGGCUUCAGAUGGCACAGCUUAGGGCCAUAGAGUGGGAAUCACAAGAAGGCAAACUUUAGGCCCCCAGGAGAGCUGGACAACAACCUGGAGGGUCAGAGGAGAAUGGGCUGUCCAAGGAGCGGGGAUAUGAGGGUGGGGCAGUGUGGCCAUCCCUGGAAGGGGUAAGGGAGUGGCAGAUGGUAACCAUUUGGGGUGGGGUGUGGCUGAGGAUUCCUGCAAGGCUAUCAGAGAAACUCUAAGAAUCAUAAGAAUCAAAGCUCAAGUACAUGAGGGAAGACAUAAUGAAAUCCCUAAAGUUCUGAGAGGUUGUACCAGAUUCUUUAUGGAGAAUACAGAGAGAAUGCCUCCUGACUCCUCAUUCACAGAGUGCCAGGCAGCAGCAAGGAGAAGCUGGUGGCCUUGGGAGGGCAAAAACUAAGGACAAGGUCCACAAUGCAAUCAGCUCACAUCACCUACGAACAAAUAAAGUGGGGUGGGGGUGGAGAGUUGCUAGAGUUUACGUAACUCUCAAGCCUUAAUUUAGCUGCAAGAACUAGGUUUUUGCCAAAGCUAUAGAACUUCCCACCAGAUGAAAGCUUUAUCUCUUUUUCUUUCUUAGGAGAAGAGAGACAGAAGGAGAGAAGAGGGGCAGGAGGAGAGAAAACACAAGAAAGAGGAUGGAAGAUAAAGAGGAAGGUUUUUGAGACUAUGCAGAAGUUAUUCCAUGAGUUCCAAGCCCAGGUCAUGAAAGAUAACUUGUAAUAAAUCUGGCUACCCUGAAGCUGCCAUGCUUGAGAGACCACACGAGAUGGAGAGAGAUGCUUAGGAGUCCCAGCUGUCCAAGCCUCCAGCUAUGUGAAUCUUCCCAGCAGCAACUGCCAGACAUGUGGUACACCCAAAAUGACUUUGGGGCUACACUUGGAAUUGGCAAGGUUCCAGAAAACAGAGGGACUAUCAUCAGAGACAGCGCACAAAAAGUGGGAGAAAGGUCACCAGCCUCACUCAUGUUUAGGGCUAUUAUGAAUAAAGCUGCUAUGAACACUUGUUUACAAGUUCUUUGUGAGGACACAUGUUUUCAUUUAUCUUGGGAAAAUACCUAGAGAUGGAACUCUGGGACACAUGGUAAUAAAGUAUAUUGGCAUAAUGCAAGAGUCAAGAUGCAGAAAAUAACUACUGUGUGAUGUCUCUCUCCCAGCUUUAACCCGCCUGAAGGGCAGCACUGAGUUCAACACACUGUCCCACAAUUGUUGCACUCUCACACUGAAGUGAACAGAUUCUUUCUCCGUGCCGUGCAGCUCCCGGCAGAGGAUGAGGGAAGGGUACCAUCGGUGAUUCAGCACUGUGUUUCCUAUCCUCUUCAAUGACUCUUUCAGCGAUAUGAAGGUAAAACCAGGUACUGUGAGUGCUCAUCUUAUUUUUGGUUCUUUUGAAGGUGUUUUUUGGUGUAGAUAGUUAUUAAAUUUGGUGUUCCCGCAUGGGGGAACAAUUGAUAGAGCCUUCUAUUUGAUCAUUUUGCUCUGCUCAUUCUAUAUACCACAUUUUCUUUAUCAAAUCUUAUUUAAUUUUGAUUCCAUAAUUUACUAAAGACUAAAUGUGAUAUGCUAAGUUUUUCACAACAAUUAUAUUUUAUCCCACUUUUUUGUCUUCAAAUAGCUUUUGCUUUUGUAUUUCUGUGCUAUGUUAUAGUACAUUACACAUUCAUUGUGGAUUGCAACUUUUAUAAAACAAUCCUCUAUCCAAAGCAUUUUCCUCUGGAGUUUUAUUUUAACCAAUAUUAAUAGUGCCACUACUACCUUGUUCUGACUUUUGCUUUUUUUGAUUUAAAAAUAUAUUUGUUUUAUUUUUGUCUGAUUUUUCUCUAUCUUUAUUUGUAAAUCUUUUGUGUCAUUUGAGUUAGGUGAAUGGAGCACAUGGCUAUGCUUUGUUUUAAAUGAAAGUCUUUGUCAUCCAGCGGAGGACUUUAAUUCAUUUACAUUUAUUGACAUAAAUGUUGGUAGGUCUUAUUUCUCUCAUCUUGCUUUACAAUUUCUAUUUUACUGCUUGUAUUGCUUUUAUUUUGAUGCUUCCUUAUUUCUUCAUCUUUAAAGUAUAUGUACUGCUAUUUUCCUACCAUAAUUACAUUUCUCUAAUUACAAAUAUGAAACUCUGAAUCUCUUCCUUACCAAUCCUAUGUAAAAUAAGAAAUUUAUCAAGCUGGUGGGCUUGAUAAAGGGCUUACCCAUUCCUGUUUCUAAACAAACAAUUAUGCUUAUUUAAACAAUCUGUUCCAAACAACUACCAGCAAAAAUGUGAACUGUUCUUCAUUAGUCUACUAAUUGAAUUUUCUAACUAUCCUGAUGCCAGGAACACCAUGUAUCAGUUAUGCCUAAAAUGUCAUUUAAAAAUAAAAUUGCUUGAGGACAAAUCAGAAAUUAGCAUCUUUAACUAUUUAACUAUUUAAUUACUUUAAGGGCUCCUGGUCAUAGUUUCCACAUUCUACUUCCUUCUCUGUUACAGACUUGAAAGCGUGUGUCAGAUCCCUUCACUAUAUCUUCAGACCUGCCCCAAGGAGUGAGGAAGGGCAACACCAAGAACUUCUCUCCAAGGACCAUAACCUGCGAACCCCAUCUCACCUCCUCCUGCCAGAUGGACACAGUCAUUGUCCUCCUGGCUGAUCCCAUGUCCAUGUCUUGCUCUGGCUACUUUCAUACACCCAUAAUGACAUUUUCCAUCUACUCAAUUUUUUAAAAGCUCAGCUCGAACCUCACGGAUUUUCCUGACAAUCUGCUUCUCUCAAUGGCCUUAAUUUAAGUGAGGGUUGUCAGUCUUACUGGGUCUCGUUUUUUGUCUUAAAUAAUAACUAUUUAUGGGUAUCAAGUGUCUCCUCAAUUUGGCUAUGAUCCUUCACGGCAGAAAUACUGUCUUAUCUUGUGAUCAUGGAGUCACAAGAUUUCAUGGCUAGGAAUAUUCGUCAAAUUAAUCCUAGAUUGAGGAUCAGGUAGUAUGUGGUCUGAUUCUAACUCAACAACUUGCAGAAACUCACUUCUUUUUUCUUUUUUUUUCCCCAGGAGGAGCUAUCGUAUUAACUGACGAAACUCACUUCAUUUCUUUGGACCUGCAAAAUGAGGAUGGGCUCUAAACCACCUCUAAAGUUAAUAUUCUAUGAUUCCAUGAUAAGGCUAUUUGUCAUUUAUAAAAAAAGGAACUUCCACAUAGCCCAGAGAAAGGAAAUGACUUUUUCAAGUUUACAGAGUCAAUUAAUGGACGAAAUGUAAUUUGAAAUUCAAUCUCCUGAUCCCCAGUCUAUUGGGAGUUCUUUCAGAAUGUCCCUUGACUGUCCCUCAAAGUGCCAGCAUGUAUGAAACCUUGUUAAGGAUGUAUGCUCAAUGAAAAUACACAAAUUGACUUAACAAGAAACUAAACUCUCCAGAAAGAUGCAGUUGACCCAAAACUCUGAAUAUCUUUUAUGUUUAAAACUUUCUUUUUUGAACAAAAUUGUACAGUUACUUCUCUAUUUCAACUCUUAAGCCUUUUAUGCCACGUCAAAGGUUAGCUCUCUUUUCUCUCUGUUAAUAAAGUCUUAUUCUUGACUUUGGAACUGUAUGCCAA
RNAcentral lists this long non-coding RNA (7569 nucleotides) under Homo sapiens (human). Its description in RNAcentral is "HSALNT0314749". The record is from RNAcentral. Lineage: Eukaryota; Metazoa; Chordata; Mammalia; Primates; Hominidae.